This 379-nucleotide unclassified non-coding RNA is filed under the name uncultured Oligoflexales bacterium. RNAcentral's name for it is "contains 16S-23S intergenic spacer region". Lineage: Bacteria; Pseudomonadati; Bdellovibrionota; Oligoflexia; Oligoflexales. The record is from RNAcentral.
UCCGUGUUCACCACGGCAGUCUCUCUAGAGAGCCCAACUGAAUGCUGGCAACUAAAGAUAAGGGUUGCGCUCGUUGCGGGACUUAACCCAACAUGUCACCACACGAGCUGACGACAGCCAUGCAGCACCUGUCUUCCGGUCGUAUUGCUACGAAAGCCGUAUUUCUACGGUUGUCCGAAGAUGUCAAGCCUAGGUAAGGUUCUGCGCGUUGCUUCGAAUUAAACCACAUGAUCCACCGCUUGUGCGGGCCCCCGUCAAUUCCUUUGAGUUUUAGUCUUGCGACCGUACUUCCCAGGCGGGGUACUUAGCGCGUUAGCUCCGACUCGGCAGGGGUCAAGUCCCACCAAGUCUAGUACCCAUCGUUUACAGCGUGGACUAC